CAGUAGCCGCGGGAAUACGGAGGGUGCAAGCGUUAAUCGGAAUUACUGGGCGUAAAGCGCACGCAGGCGGUCUGACAAGUCGGAUGUGAAAUCCCCGGGCUCAACCUGGGAACUGCAUUCGAAACUGUCAGGCUUGAGUCUCGUAGAGGGGGGUAGAAUUCCAGGUGUAGCGGUGAAAUGCGUAGAGAUCUGGAGGAAUACCGGUGGCGAAGGCGGCCCCCUGGACGAAGACUGACGCUCAGGUGCGAAAGCGUGGGGAGCAAACAGGAUUAGAUACCCGCGUAGUCCCUGUCUCUUAUAC
Molecule: ribosomal RNA, 301 nt
Filed under: uncultured bacterium
Lineage: Bacteria
Description: partial 16S ribosomal RNA
Rfam family: Bacterial small subunit ribosomal RNA
Source: RNAcentral